Non-coding RNA from Podarcis lilfordi (Lilford's wall lizard), 83 nucleotides. NCBI's taxonomy places the organism in Eukaryota, Metazoa, Chordata, Lepidosauria, Squamata, Lacertidae. The record is from the annotation of a GenBank genome assembly.
GCACCAGAGUGAUCCAGCUCAGUUGGUAGGGCAUGAGACUCUGCAACCCAUCUGGGUUGUGGGUUUGAGCCCCACUUUGGGCA